UAAAAGGUGCAAAUGCUCAGAGUCAUGGAAUGAUCUUUCCAUGAGCAGUGUCAGGCAGGGACAUUCGCCCAGGAAACUCUCCAAAGCAGAGUCAGAGCUGUGCGGACUCAGGGACCUUGUCUGUUUCAUUCUCACAUUCUCUUUCCCUCUCCCUCCCUCUCUCCUGCCCUCCCUCUACACACACACACACACACACACACACACACACCACAGACACUCCUCCAACAGCUGCAAUCUGGAAGAAAUUACUCUUCUAAACAGCCAGACUUCCCCAGUUUCAGGAAAUUCCAAGCUGGGCAGGAGGAGGGGCUGGGCUGGGAGGGGGGCGCGCCCUGUCCAUCCCCCCACCCCUUCUGCGUGUCCUCUGUGCGCACCCGGUCCGGCCCAGGCCCGCCCCCACACUCAGCCCGGAGGCCUCUGCUUUUCCACCACCGCUUUCUAGUCCUUUAAAUCCUAGAGGCAAAACUUUUGGGGGAUAAGGAAGGCGGGGAGGGGCCUGGGCCUUAACCCUCUCUGCCCCAGAGGGACUGGGCUGGACUGGGCAGUGACUUCGCGGCCCGUUUGGGCUCCUACCAUGGCCCCCCGAGAGGGGCUGACACUUCGGUCCCCGGUGCAGGUGUGAUCCGCCCGGAGGAAAAAGGAAGAAGGCGCGGACUUGGGACUCGGAGGCAGAGGCGGGCUCCGAACCAAGGAGAGGGGCGUCCCAGUCGGAGCCCGAGAGCGCGCCUGCCCCACUCCGCGAGGGCCACGAGACAGAGACAGAGACAGCCUGAGUGGGAGAGAGGCAGAAAGAGAGGGAGACAGAGAAUCUGAAGCAGGCCCAGGCUCCGAACUGUCAGCUCAGAGCCCGACACAGGGCUUGAACCCACCAACCGCGAGAUCAUGACCCAAGCCGAAGUCGGACGCUCAACUGAUAGAGCCACCCAGGCACCCCAUUCGGUGUUCUUUUCACCUGCAGCUCACUCCACAGUAAUGAUGGGCACCUACUAGCUCUGGGAGCAGAUUCUUUUUAUUUUACACUGUGGAUUGAAAUUCAUUAAUGAGAAAAAGUCAGCGUUUAAAACAAAUAAAAUAGAUUAGGAUUGAAAACAUCUGAGUGCCUUAGCUUGUAAGUCUUGUUUCAUCCAAUGUUUGUUCCCUUUUAUUGGGGGAGUGGUGGGGAGGAAAGGCCAUUACGUGCCAGGUUAUAAUUAGAAUAUAUUUACUCAUCUAGGUGAGGUCAGAGGAGUUUGAGAAACACUACAGAGGUGAUAAAAUCAAGACUGGUUUUUCCAGGGAAAUAAACGUAAAGUGUGUGUGUGUGUGUGUGUGUGCGCACGUGCGUGUGUGUUGGGGUGGGGUAAAGGACAAUCCUCAGAACACAUCCAGCCAUGGUUAUUUUAAAUCCUUUUAGCUUUAAUUUUUCUCUGCAUUAUCAGUGAUGUUUCCCAGAGUGCUAGUUACUGACAGAAUAGUGCUGACUGCUUUACCUUCUUCAUAGGGUUUUAUCAAAUCUAAAUUGUGUUCUAGUUAUUUGGGGACACAUCCUCCUCCCGCCCCCUCCCCCCCAACAACUGGCACCACCAAUUGGCUGGCACUAUUACAAGUACAGUUUUCUUUAAUUGAGAUUUUUCUACAUGCCCUUCAAGGAAGGUGGUGUUAUUUUAUCCAUUUUUUUAAAUGUUUUUUAUUU
Molecule: RNA transcript, 1672 nt
Organism: Panthera uncia (snow leopard)
Lineage: Eukaryota; Metazoa; Chordata; Mammalia; Carnivora; Felidae
Gene: CDC42EP5
Gene name: CDC42 effector protein 5
Exons: 3
Source: RefSeq, a predicted model, not a curated record